UCGAUUUUUCUCAAAAUUCCAAAUUUCAAGCCCUAGAUAUAAAAUUACUCCAAUUGAACGAACGGACGGCACACGCGCUUACCCAGUAUUGCAUUAUGUAAGGUGAUGAGAACGCACGAAACCCUCUUCUUUCUUCUUCUUCCUCUCUUCCUCUUCCUUUCUUUGAGCUCGAUCUCUCUGGUCUCCCUUUCUCUCUCUCCUCCUUUUGCUUUCUCUCUUUCCCUUUUAUCUUCUCCUUUUUCCCCUUUUUUCUUUUUCCUUUUCUCUUUUCUUUUAUCUCCUCCUUUUUCCCCCUUUUUCUUUUUCCUUUUUUUUUCUUUCUUUCCUUCUCUCUCUUCUUUUUCUUCUUCUCUCCCGAAGACUCUCAGUCUCUCUCCUUCUUCUUUCUCCUUUUUGUCUUUUGACUGGGUCAAAACCCAUAUUUUACAACAGUUUCACUUGUUUGUCCGUAGCAGGUGAAUCAAGAGAGUGCUUCUGCGUCUGGCCCUCCAAACUGUCAUGCGAGGAACCGGUCUCAAUACAGGAAUUAGAGGUAUUGCCCGAUUCCCCGAAAAGACAAACUGUUGCUCAGUAACUUGUUCUCUCUCUGGUUAUAUGGAAUUGAACUAGAAAAUAAUGCAUCCAUAGGAAAGAACAAGAGAUUGAAAGAUCGACUAUUUAGAUGGUUG
RNAcentral lists this long non-coding RNA (668 nucleotides) under Eucalyptus grandis. RNAcentral's name for it is "long non-coding RNA (EGRA_LNC007861)". The record is from RNAcentral. Lineage: Eukaryota; Viridiplantae; Streptophyta; Magnoliopsida; Myrtales; Myrtaceae.